This is a small nucleolar RNA of Perognathus longimembris pacificus (Pacific pocket mouse), 134 nucleotides long. RefSeq annotates it as small nucleolar RNA SNORA25. NCBI's taxonomy places the organism in Eukaryota, Metazoa, Chordata, Mammalia, Rodentia, Heteromyidae. The transcript has a single exon. The record is from RefSeq and is a predicted model, not a curated record.
AGGUCAUUUCAAAGAAGGCUUAUGUAAGUGUUCUGAAUCCAAGAGCUCUUAAUGCUGUGACCAAAGAUUGAAGUUCUCUGUAGGAUGUCGUAGUUACUCAAUAGAAGUGCUAUGUUUGCAGAAGAGUAAUAAUA